Molecule: ribosomal RNA, 371 nt
Filed under: uncultured fungus
Lineage: Eukaryota; Fungi
Description: eukaryotic LSU rRNA
Rfam family: Eukaryotic large subunit ribosomal RNA
Source: RNAcentral
AUAUCAAUAAGCGGAGGAAAAGAAACCAACAGGGAUUAGCCUCAGUAACGGCGAGUGAAGCGGUCAACAGCUCAAAUUUGAAAUCUGGCUCUUCACGAGUCCGAGUUGUAAUUUGUAGAAGAUGCUUCGAGCAUGUGGUACUGGUCUAAGUUCCUUGGAACAGGACGUCAUAGAGGGUGAGAAUCCCGUAUGUGACUGGUCAGGUGCCUUACGCUCAUGUGAAGCUCCUUCGACGAGUCGAGUUGUUUGGGAAUGCAGCUCAAAAUGGGUGGUAAAUUUCAUCUAAAGCUAAAUAUUGGCCAGAGACCGAUAGCGCACAAGUAGAGUGAUCGAAAGAUGAAAAGCACUUUGGAAAGAGAGUUAAACAGUAC